AUUUUGGAAAAUUGCAGUAGGUCACAUUUCGAUAUCAAUAAAAUUUCUAUUAAUUGUGCAGUCCUACUUUUUGUUAAUGACACGUUGAA
This is a long non-coding RNA of Sebastes umbrosus (honeycomb rockfish), 89 nucleotides long. RefSeq lists it as uncharacterized. NCBI's taxonomy places the organism in Eukaryota, Metazoa, Chordata, Actinopteri, Perciformes, Sebastidae. The transcript has 4 exons. The record is from RefSeq and is a predicted model, not a curated record.